AUCGAACGCUGGCGGCAUGCCUAAUACAUGCAAGUCGAGCGGAGCGGCGAACGGGUGAGUACUGCCUAGGAAUCUGCCUGGUAGUGGGGGAUAACGUCCGGAAACGGGCGCUAAUACCGCAUACUAUCAAAUCAGCCUCGGUCGGAUUUGCUAGUUGGUGGGGUAAAGGCCUACCAAGGCGACGAUCCGUAACUGGUCUGAGAGGAUGAUCAGUCACAUUGGGACUGAGACACGGCCAAGACUCCUACGGGAGGCAGCAGUGGGGAAUAUUGGACAAUGGGCGAAAGCCUGAUCCAGCCAGGCCGCGUGUGUGAAGAAGGUCUUCGGAUUGUAAAGCACUUUAAGUUGGGAGGCGGUACCAACAGAAUAAGCACCGGCUAACUACGUGCCAGCAGCCGCGGUAAUAC
This 407-nucleotide ribosomal RNA is filed under the name uncultured bacterium. Its description in RNAcentral is "partial 16S ribosomal RNA". It matches the Rfam family "Bacterial small subunit ribosomal RNA", at positions 30 to 526 of the family's 1533-position model. The record is from RNAcentral.